CGAUCAGUAGCCGGUCUGAGAGGAUGAACGUCCACAUCGGAACUGAGACUCGGUCCAAACUCCUACGGGAGGCAGCAGUGGGGAAUAUUGCACAAUGGGGGAAACCCUGAUGCAGCAACGCCGCGUGAGUGAAGAAGUAUUUCGGUACGUAAAGCUCUAUCAGCAGGGAAGAUAAUGGCGGUACCUGACUAAGAAGCUCCGGCUAAGUACGUGCCAGCAGCCGCGGUAAUACAUAUGGAGCAAGCGUUAUCCGGAUUUACUGGGUGUAAAGGGUGCGUAGGUGGCAGUGCAAGUCAGAUGUGAAAGGCCGGGGCUCAACCCCGGAGCUGCAUUUGAAACUGCUCGGCUAGAGUACAGGAGAGGCAGGCGGAAUUCCUAGUGUAGCGGUGAAAUGAGUAGAUAUUAGGAGGAACACCAGUGGGGAAGGCGGCUUGCUGGACUGUUACUGACACUGAGGCACGAAAGCGUGGGGAGCAAACAGGAUUAGAUACCCUGGUAGUCCACCCCGUAAACAAUGAAUACUAGGUGUCAGGGCCGUAUAGGCUUCGGUGCCGCCGCUAACGCAGUAAGUAUUCCAC
Molecule: ribosomal RNA, 578 nt
Filed under: uncultured bacterium
Lineage: Bacteria
Description: bacterial SSU rRNA
Rfam family: Bacterial small subunit ribosomal RNA
Source: RNAcentral